CGGUCCCUACGGGGGGCAGCAGUGAGGAAUAUUGGUCAAUGGCCGGAAGGCUGAACCAGCCAAGCCGCGUGAAGGACGAAGGUGCCAAGCAUUGUAAACUUCUUUUGUCAAGGGACAAAAUCAGGCUCGAGAGCCUGACCGAGGGUACUUGAAGAAAAAGCAUCGGCUAACUACGUGCCAGCAGCCGCGGUAAUACGUAGGGGGCAAGCGUUAUCCGGAUUUACUGGGUGUAAAGGGAGCGUAGACGGCAGCGCAAGUCUGAAGUGAAAUGCCGGGGCUUAACCCCGGAACUGCUUUGGAAACUG
RNAcentral lists this ribosomal RNA (305 nucleotides) under uncultured bacterium. Its description in RNAcentral is "bacterial SSU rRNA". It matches the Rfam family "Bacterial small subunit ribosomal RNA", at positions 333 to 635 of the family's 1533-position model. The record is from RNAcentral.